RNAcentral lists this ribosomal RNA (292 nucleotides) under uncultured bacterium. Its description in RNAcentral is "partial 16S ribosomal RNA". It matches the Rfam family "Bacterial small subunit ribosomal RNA", at positions 505 to 796 of the family's 1533-position model. The record is from RNAcentral.
GUGUCAGCCGCCGCGGUAAGACGAACCGUGCAAACGUUAUUCGGAAUCACUGGGCUUAAAGGGCGCGUAGGCGGGUAACCAAGUCCGGGGUGAAAUCCUCCAGCUUAACUGGAGAAGUGCCUCGGAUACUGGUCGUCUCGAGGAGGGUAGGGGCAUCUGGAACUAGCGGUGGAGCGGUGAAAUGCGUUGAUAUCGCUAGGAACUCCGAUGGCGAAGGCAAGGUGCUGGACCCUUUCUGACGCUGAGGCGCGAAAGCCAGGGGAGCGAACGGGAUUAGAAACCCCUGUAGUCC